This 153-nucleotide long non-coding RNA is filed under the name Mustela putorius furo (domestic ferret). RNAcentral describes it as "lncRNA (ENSMPUG00000027651.1)". The record is from RNAcentral. Lineage: Eukaryota; Metazoa; Chordata; Mammalia; Carnivora; Mustelidae.
UGAGACUGGAGGAAUGCGCAGAAGCCAGGCUGCUUGGUUCUACCGGUCCUAAGACAACUAUAUGUUUUCCCAAGUAAAGUGAAAGGCUUAAGGGGAUGAAAAUCUGUUAGAUGACAUGCAACCUGCCCUUUCAAAGCUCCUCAAGGACCCUGG